RNAcentral lists this unclassified non-coding RNA (239 nucleotides) under Botrytis caroliniana. RNAcentral's name for it is "partial contains 5.8S ribosomal RNA, internal transcribed spacer 2, and large subunit ribosomal RNA". Lineage: Eukaryota; Fungi; Ascomycota; Leotiomycetes; Helotiales; Sclerotiniaceae. The record is from RNAcentral.
CGCACAUUGCGCCCCUUGGUAUUCCGGGGGGCAUGCCUGUUCGAGCGUCAUUUCAACCCUCAAGCUUAGCUUGGUAUUGAGUCUAUGUCAGUAAUGGCAGGCUCUAAAAUCAGUGGCGGCGCCGCUGGGUCCUGAACGUAGUAAUUAUCUCUCGUUACAGGUUCUCGGUGUGCUUCUGCCAAAACCCAAAUUUUUCUAUGGUUGACCUCGGAUCAGGUAGGGAUACCCGCUGAACUUAA